Molecule: non-coding RNA, 2547 nt
Organism: Aegilops tauschii subsp. strangulata
Lineage: Eukaryota; Viridiplantae; Streptophyta; Magnoliopsida; Poales; Poaceae
Source: RefSeq, a predicted model, not a curated record
UUUAGAAGAUGGAUUAGUGCUGUAUUCUGAAUUUCUGAUCGAAGUUGCAUCAUUUAUUAUUCUGGUUACUGAGUAUCUAUAGAAAAGUCCUGCAUAAAUUUCACAGUAAAAACUGGGAUAGUGUAGUUAUUAAUUCUUAGGAUUAGUACACGGAAGGCACAUCAUUUCAGACUUACUAGCAAAAUUGCAAAACCAUGAUAUACUUGUAUUUGAAACGUUAGUUGUUUUUUCAGUGUUUCUACUGAAGAGCUUCAUGAAGCUAUUCAUUUCCAUAGCAUGUUUACGAGAUAAUCCAAAUAGUGUUGCAUUUCAUUUACAAACCAUGAUGGAGCAAUUUGAAGCUAAUGCUGCAUGCAAUAUUUUUUUUAGCCAAGAGAAAGCUUUGUUGAUUAACUAAUAACGUUAUCAUAAUCAUUUUGAAGAAGCAUUGGCACAAACGCUAGGAACCUAUUAAGUAUAAUAUCCCCUACUACAUCCUGCUUCACUAGUUUAGAUAUUGAUGAGCAGGAAUACACUAGUAUGCACAAACUAUUGGUGUAGAGGAAAUCCUGACUAUUUUCACUCCUACUUGCACACAGAAACAAGAGAGGGUGUUGCUUUGGAAACCUGAAUGCUAAAGAAAUACAGUAUAUAAGCAGCUAAGCAUGUUAUAUUGCCAGACAUGAACCCCCUGUCAAAACAUUCUUAGAUCUCAAACUAUUGUUUGUUAUGUCAAUUCUAUUUAAUUUUGCAACAAUUGUUUUUUGCAGGGCUGAUUCACAAGGUAUAACCUGAAUUUAUCUCACUGGGUUCAGGCAAGCAAGCACCCUCGACACAUCGGGCAGGAUCAUGGACUUCUCAUGGUACACCUUCACAACAGGAGCUCCCGCCCCGGUGCCGAGCCCUGCCAUGGUGGCCAGAGCUCUCUCUCCUCUGGUUGAAGAAGUGAAGCCGGAGCUGUAUGCAAGUGAGUACUGUAAGCCCACCUUCAUUUUUUUAAUAUAAGAAGGUCAUCUGCCUCCAUGAAGAAGCAAAGAGAAGAUGCUUAAAGUGAGAACCAAGGAGGUGAGUGUACGGGACGAUAGAAAUAGAUAGAGGCAGGAUAAAGAAAAGGAAAAGACAGAGAACAAAGGAGAGAAAAAGCAAAAGGUAAAAGUGAAGUAAAUCUGGAGGGUUUUGAUUUUCGAUGGUGUUCUUUAGGUGUUGCCAUCAUGAGGGUCACAUCAGCAAUGCUAAGGUACUGUCUAUUUAAAGGGAAAGGGGUGAAAACAAAGUCAAAAGCUAUUUCUUGGACACCGCCUCUUUUAGUAACCAAUCGACUCACACGGGAAACGUCUCAAAUGAAGUAACGGACACUGUUCUAUUUGUUGGGUUAUGUCUCGCUUUAUUCAUUUCUUGGCCCUUUAACCAAAGGAGAUGCGGAAUGCCGGUACGGGAGCACGGAGGUUUUGUCUAGGAAGGCAAGUUUAGCAUCAGACCUGUAUGGCCCCUUCCUUGUACCAGCCCCCCAGUCUACCAGACAAACGGGAUGAGUGAUGGGCAUCCAGGGUGCCUUUGUUGUUUGUAUCACCAGCCUGACCGACAUGGGGACUUCAGACAGAGGAUACCUCAGUAAAUUGCCAAUCACGGGCCAUCUAGGAAGCAUGUGCUGCAACGUAGGUAGAAUCAUGUGUUGUCCAAGUGUGUGCAGUUUUUGUGGAGUGAAUUGAGUACCGAGUAUUAUGCUUCAUUUUUGUGGAUCAGAACCGGAACGAGUUAGAAUAGAAUGAAGCAUAACACUAUGAAAGUAUUAAGCAAAGUAUCAAGUAUUCAGAGAGUUUGCAGUCCUGCUGGAGCGAUGGGGUUCUUGUUUCCUGUCACCCUGGUAAAUUCCUCAGUUUGUCGUUGUAGCUUAUUUCAAGGGUAUCCAACAUGUCUUUCUUCUGGUCUGGCUGCACGUGAAGCUUCUGUUGGGAGCUCAAGAGCUCCUGUAGAUUCUGAGUGGGCACUCUUUGUACCUGUCGAGGAUUUCAUAUAUUGUAACCAGCAUCAUAUGUGGCGGGGUUACUUCAGGAAAUAAUCUGCAGUUGAUAGCUCAUCAUGGUGGAUGGGCGUCUAGCCCAGUGGCAAGAGCGUGGCUGUGCGCCUUGGCUUACUCAAGUUCAAAUCAUGUGCCGCGAUGAUGAUGAAGACAUGGAAGAAGGAGGCUGAAGACACAUAACCCGGAAGCCUGUGUGCUGGAUGUGAAAAAUGUCUUUUGAUAAACUGGGUUUGAGGAAGUGUGGGAAGGCUGUGCGUUGGGUGGACAAAGGAAGAGCGCAGGAAGUCCCUAGUACUAAUCACACAUUAGCGGCAGCUACAGGAAAUCUGCAAGGAUAUUUCAUAUCCAUUCCUGCCAAUACAUGACGUAAACAGAGUAGCUUACUUUAGUUCGGAACCAGUGUUCAGUAUUUGUGUUGUGUGCCUCGCCAAAGAAAGAAGUACUGUAUUAGUGUCCGUCAUGCAAGUGACCCGGAUACCAACAAGAGCGUAAAUUUUUUCAACUGUAUCCUUCGUUCUCCAUCUUAAUUUCUUUUAGUGCCUGACAAA